CGCAAGGAGGCAGCUAACCACGGUAGGGUCAGCGACUGGGGUGAAGUCGUAACAAGGUAGCCGUAGGGGAACCUGCGGCUGGAUCACCUCCUUU
Molecule: ribosomal RNA, 94 nt
Filed under: Agrobacterium leguminum
Lineage: Bacteria; Pseudomonadati; Pseudomonadota; Alphaproteobacteria; Hyphomicrobiales; Rhizobiaceae
Description: Agrobacterium sp. MOPV5 partial 16S ribosomal RNA
Rfam family: Bacterial small subunit ribosomal RNA
Source: RNAcentral